GCCUGGAUGGCUCAGUCGGUUGGGUGUCUGACUUUGGCUCAGGUCAUGAUCUCACAGCUCUGUGGGUUCAAGCCCCGCGUCGGGCU
RNAcentral lists this transfer RNA (86 nucleotides) under Felis catus (domestic cat). It matches the Rfam family "tRNA". From Rfam's summary of the family: Transfer RNA (tRNA) molecules are approximately 80 nucleotides in length. Lineage: Eukaryota; Metazoa; Chordata; Mammalia; Carnivora; Felidae. The record is from Rfam by way of RNAcentral.